AAGACUAUACUUUCAGGGAUCAUUUCUAUAGUUCCUAACUUGAGAGAUGUGUUUCGAAAGUGACGAGUCCCGCCAACCACGAUGACGAGACGUGGCGUUCUCCUCUGAGCGCGAAGCGGGCGGCCGGUAGUGAUUCAAUUCACACGCCGGCCGCCAUUGAUGACCGUUCUGCACCCCCUAGCGGAGCGCAGAGGAGGAGGACGUGUUCUGAGUGGU
Lampris incognitus (smalleye Pacific opah) is the source of this 216-nucleotide small nucleolar RNA. RefSeq annotates it as small nucleolar RNA U3. The transcript has a single exon. Lineage: Eukaryota; Metazoa; Chordata; Actinopteri; Lampriformes; Lampridae. The record is from RefSeq and is a predicted model, not a curated record.